GUUUUCAGGUCCACUCUCUUUCGUUGUCCAACACGAACUGAACUAAAAGACUGAAAACUUACCAAAAACCUUUCUCUUCUCAAAGCAAAACAUGUGCGUCAUCAAAUGUGUCUGGAGUUUACUGUGGGAAGGUGUGUGUGGGUGUGUGUGAAUGUUUGUGUGCUUGAGUGUGAAGGUCAGUACCAAACAUUCUCAACACUAUCUAAUUAUGGAUUCAUUAAGCCAUUAUAAUUACCCCAAAGCAUAAGAACCAUUCAUUUGAUUAAACACAUUUAUAAUGAGCAAAAUGAUAAUGGUUAUUCUAACAUUAAAAUCAAGAAAAAGAAGUUUAAACUUUAUGUUUUGACUUGGUCUGGGUACAACUCAUGUAAACACAUCUUCUGGUAGACUGCAGGUGGCUGAUGUUAUGGUUUCCUUCCAGACUCGCUGGCGUUCAGGACUUAAUCUGUGGGUGAAAGUUCUCAAUGACCCAGCUUUGACCUAGCUGCGUCCAGCACCACCUUUGUGAUAGAAAACCCAUAUUUCCUCACGUUACACUUGUUAGAAGUUUGUAUGCCAUCAGAUAAACUCGCUCUUUUUUUGGGGGGUGAGGCUUAUAUUGCAGUACGCUCGAGUCAGUAAUUUCCAGUAAGUAUUUUAAAGCCAUAUACUUAAUUAGUUCUUUGUAUGAAGUUUUCCUCUAGGUGAUCCAGAGAGGCUUGACCUUUGGGUGAGCAACCAAAGAAGAGAGUGCUGGACUCCCAAUUCAUUCUCCCGCUUGUGCAGUGAACACUUUGAGAGUCGUCACUUCACCACGGACUCCAGGGUGGAAAUGCUGUGUGAUUCCUGUGUCCUGUGGCCCAUGACCUGUGUCAGCCCGGUUCUGGAUGUGGCCUUGCUGAGUUCUCUGUAGCAAGGUUUUCUGGCGCUUGGGGCCAUUCCAGAGUGCACCUGGUCCUUUCUAACACUUCACAUCCCAGCACACGCACGAACACAUGCUUGUCGAUGUUUGUUGUUCAUGUUUGUGGUUCAUGCUUUACAUGUUUAUAGUUGUUCAUCCCAAGUUUUCUUGAUGACUCUUAGAAAUGUUUCUUCACAGGUGCUGGUUGCUGUUUUUAUUUUGGUUUGCUAGUUGUAUUAAUUUUUCUCUUUUUUACUUGUUUAUCCUCUAUCAGCAGUCUUUAUUCCAGAUUGGUUCAGCAUUUACAUACUGAUGUGGCGAUACAUAACCCAAACCAAUAUUACUCAAGGGGAACCUCGUACACAUUAAGGCUCCUCUUGAUAGAGCAAAUCUGUUCAGCACAUUCUGACAGACAGACCACCAUUCUUCUGUCAUGUUGCUGUACAGGACAUUUUUAGUUUU
This is a long non-coding RNA of Nothobranchius furzeri (turquoise killifish), 1342 nucleotides long. RefSeq lists it as uncharacterized. The record is from RefSeq and is a predicted model, not a curated record. Lineage: Eukaryota; Metazoa; Chordata; Actinopteri; Cyprinodontiformes; Nothobranchiidae.